GGCUCAGGAUGAACGCUAGCGGCAGGCUUAACACAUGCAAGUCGAGGGGCAGCGCGAGUAGCAAUACUUGGCGGCGACCGGCGCAAGGGUGCGUAACGCGUGAGCAACAUGCCCGUAUCAGGGGGAUAAUCCAGGGAAACUUGGUCUAAUACCCAUAGUAAUUUUUGUAAGGCAUCUUAUAAGAUUUUAAAGCUUUGGUGGAUACGGAUUGGCUCGCGUGACAUUAGCUGGAUGGUAAGGUAACGGCUUACCAUGGCUAUGAUGUCUAGGGGUUCUGAGAGGAAGGUCCCCCACACUGGAACUGAGACACGGUCCAGACUCCUACGGGAGGCAGCAGUGAGGAAUAUUGGACAAUGGAUGGAAAUCUGAUCCAGCCAUGCCGCGUGAAGGAAGAAACGGUCCUAUGGAUUGUAAACUUCUUUUGUAUGGGAGCAAUAAGGCCUACGAGUAGGUUGAUGAGAGUACCAUACGAAUAAGCACCGGCUAACUCCGUGCCAGCAGCUGC
RNAcentral lists this ribosomal RNA (505 nucleotides) under uncultured bacterium. RNAcentral's name for it is "bacterial SSU rRNA". It matches the Rfam family "Bacterial small subunit ribosomal RNA", at positions 21 to 518 of the family's 1533-position model. The record is from RNAcentral.